This 421-nucleotide ribosomal RNA is filed under the name uncultured bacterium. RNAcentral's name for it is "partial 16S ribosomal RNA". It matches the Rfam family "Bacterial small subunit ribosomal RNA", at positions 360 to 773 of the family's 1533-position model. The record is from RNAcentral.
AAUAUUUGAUAAUGGGGGCAACCCUGAUCCAGCCAUGCCGCGUGUGUGAAGAAGGUCUUCGGAUUGUAAAGCACUUUAAGUUGGGAGGAAGGGCGCUAGGUUGAUACCCUGAAGUUUUGACGUUACCAACAGAAUAAGCAUCGGCUAACGCUGUGCCAGCAGCCGCGGUAAGACAGAGGGUGCAAGCGUUAAUCGGGAUUACUGGGCGUAAAGCGCGCGUAGGUGGUUCAGUAAGAUGGGUGUGAAAUCCCCGGGCUUAACCUGGGAACUGCUUUCAUAACUGCUGAGCUAGAGUACGGUAGAGGGUAGUGGAAUUUCCUGUGUAGCGGUGAAAUGCGUAGAUAUAGGAAGGAACACCAGUGGCGAAGGCGACUACCUGGACUGAUACUGACACUGAGGUGCGAAAGCGUGGGGAGCAAAC